AGCGAACGCUGGCGGCAGGCCUAACACAUGCAAGUCGAACGGAUCCUUCGGGAUUAGUGGCGGACGGGUGAGUAACACGUGGAACGUGCCUUUUGGUUCGGAACAACUCAGGGAAACUUGAGCUAAUACCGAAUGUGCCCUUCGGGGGAAAGAUUUAUCGCCAUUAGAGCGGCCCGCGUCUGAUUAGCUAGUUGGUGAGGUAAAGGCUCACCAAGGCUACGAUCAGUAGCUGGUCUGAGAGGACGAUCAGCCACAUUGGGACUGAGACACGGCCCAAACUCCUACGGGAGGCAGCAGUGGGGAAUCUUGCGCAAUGGGCGAAAGCCUGACGCAGCCAUGCCGCGUGAAUGAUGAAGGUCUUAGGAUUGUAAAAUUCUUUCACCGGGGACGAUAAUGACGGUACCCGGAGAAGAAGCCCCGGCUAAACUUCGUGCCAGCAGCCGCGGUAAU
Molecule: ribosomal RNA, 450 nt
Filed under: uncultured bacterium
Lineage: Bacteria
Description: bacterial SSU rRNA
Rfam family: Bacterial small subunit ribosomal RNA
Source: RNAcentral